RNAcentral lists this ribosomal RNA (464 nucleotides) under uncultured bacterium. Its description in RNAcentral is "bacterial SSU rRNA". It matches the Rfam family "Bacterial small subunit ribosomal RNA", at positions 917 to 1382 of the family's 1533-position model. The record is from RNAcentral.
GGACUCGCACAAGCGGUGGAGCAUGCGGUUUAAUUCGAUGCAACGCGAAAAACCUUACCAGGUCUUGACAUCCCGGUGACCGGACUAGAGAUAGUUCUUCCCUUCGGGGCACUGGAGACAGGUGGUGCAUGGUUGUCGUCAGCUCGUGUCGUGAGAUGUUGGGUUAAGUCCCACAACGAGCGCAACCCUUAUCAUUAGUUGCUAACAUUAAGUUGAGAACUCUAAUGAGACCGCCGGUGAUAAACCGGAUGAAGGUGGGGAUGACGUCAAAUCAUCAUGCCCUUUAUGACCUGGGCUACACGCGUGCUACAAUGGCUGGUACAAAGAGUCGCAAAACCGUGAGGUUGAGCAAAUCUCAUAAAACCAGUCUCAGUUCAGAUUGUAGUCUGCAACUCGACUACAUGAAGUUGGAAUCGCUAGUAAUCGCAAAUCAGCAUGUUGCGGUGAAUACGUUCUCGAGUCUU